CAGUUCCAUGCUGGUGCGUGCACACAUAGGUACACCCAGAGUUCACUGUUCGGUCACCACAUAAAAGGAGGGGGGAAAACAGUACUAGGAUCCUCUUAAUUAGUUAGCGGUCUUGUAUGAUGCUUUAACCAGAGGAGG
This 138-nucleotide non-coding RNA is filed under the name Gloeochaete wittrockiana. Lineage: Eukaryota; Glaucocystophyceae; Gloeochaetales; Gloeochaetaceae. The record is from RNAcentral.